UACAGAGGCCCCAAGCGUUAGGCGGAAUCACUGGGCUUAAAGCGUGUGUAGGCGGGUCGUUAAGUACCUUGUGAAAUCCCACGGCUUAACCGUGGAACCGCUUGGUAUACUGGCGGUCUUGAGCCACUUAGGGGCUACCGGAACAGAUGGUGGAGCGGUGAAAUGCGUAGAUAUCAUCUGGAACGCCCAUGGUGAAAACAGGUAGCUGGGAGUGUGCUGACGCUGAGACACGAAAGCCAGGGGAGCGAACGGG
This 253-nucleotide ribosomal RNA is filed under the name uncultured bacterium. RNAcentral describes it as "partial 16S ribosomal RNA". It matches the Rfam family "Bacterial small subunit ribosomal RNA", at positions 524 to 776 of the family's 1533-position model. The record is from RNAcentral.